GACGAACGCUGGCGGCGUGCUUAACACAUGCAAGUCGAACGGAAAGGCCCUGCUUUUGUGGGGUGCUCGAGUGGCGAACGGGUGAGUAACACGUGAGUAACCUGCCCUUGACUUUGGGAUAACUUCAGGAAACUGGGGCUAAUACCGGAUAGGAGCUCCUGCUGCAUGGUGGGGGUUGGAAAGUUUCGGCGGUUGGGGAUGGACUCGCGGCUUAUCAGCUUGUUGGUGGGGUAGUGGCUUACCAAGGCUUUGACGGGUAGCCGGCCUGAGAGGGUGACCGGCCACAUUGGGACUGAGAGACGGCCCAGACUCCUACGGGAGGCAGCAGUGGGGAAUAUUGCACAAUGGGCGGAAGCCUGAUGCAGCAACGCCGCGUGAGGGAUGACGGCCUUCGGGUUGUAAACCGCUUUCGCCUGUGACGAAGCGUGAGUGACGGUAAUGGGUAAAGAAGCACCGGCUAACUACGUG
This 468-nucleotide ribosomal RNA is filed under the name uncultured bacterium. RNAcentral describes it as "partial 16S ribosomal RNA". It matches the Rfam family "Bacterial small subunit ribosomal RNA", at positions 28 to 507 of the family's 1533-position model. The record is from RNAcentral.